UUCCGGUUGAUCCUGCCGGAGGCCAUUGCUAUCGGAGUUCGAUUUAGCCAUGCUAGUCGCACGAGUUCAUACUCGUGGCAGAUAGCUCAGUGACACGUGGCCAAACUACCCUAUGGAUCAGAACAACCUCGGGAAACUGAGGCUAAUUCUGAAUAAGGCUCCCUGCCUGGAAUGGCUUGAGCUGGAAACGCUACGGCGCCAUAGGAUGUGGCUGCGGCCGAUUAGGUAGACGGUGGGGUAACGGCCCACCGUGCCCAUAAUCGGUACGGGUUGUGAGAGCAAGAGCCCGGAGACAGUAUCUGAGACAAGAUACCGGGCCCUACGGGGCGCAGCAGGCGCGAAAACUUUACACUGCACGACAGUGCGAUAAGGGAACUCCGAGUGCGAGGGCAUAUCGUCCUCGCUUUUCUGUACCGUAGGGAGGUACAAGAAUAAGAGCUGGGCAAGACCGGUGCCAGCCGCCGCGGUAACACCGGCAGCUCGAGUGAUGGCCGAUCUUAUUGGGCCUAAAGCGUCCGUAGCCAGCUGAACAGGUCCGUCGGGAAAUCUGCUCGCUCAACGAGCAGGCGUCCGGCGGAAACCAGUCUGCUUGGGAUCGGAAGACCCGAGGGGUACGUCUGGGGUAGGAGUGAAAUCCCGUAAUCCUGGACGGACCACCGGUGGCGAAAGCGCCUCGGGAAGACGAAUCCGACGGUGAGGGACGAAAGCUAGGGUCACGAACCGGAUUAGAUACCCGGGUAGUCCUAGCCGUAAACGAUGCUCACUAGGUGUGGCACUGGCUACGAGCCAGUGCUGUGCCGUAGGGAAGCCGUGAAGUGAGCCGCCUGGGAAGUACGUCCGCAAGGAUGAAACUUAAAGGAAUUGGCGGGGGAGCACUACAACCGGAGGAGCCUGCGGUUUAAUUGGAUUCAACGCCGGA
This 919-nucleotide ribosomal RNA is filed under the name uncultured archaeon. RNAcentral describes it as "bacterial SSU rRNA". It matches the Rfam family "Archaeal small subunit ribosomal RNA", at positions 1 to 922 of the family's 1478-position model. The record is from RNAcentral.